AAACAGAUGCUAAAAUUUAAUCAUCUUUGUCUAUCGCGAUUUUAAUAUCGCAUUUGUUUCGUCUGUCGCGAGUUCGACAUCGUUUUUAUCUAUCCGGGCUCUUCUAAAUUUUUCGUGUUGUUCGGAACAUAAUCGUUCCAAAAAUCGGUGCGUCCGGUGAUUAUUUAAAAUACAUCGCUCGCGCGAAUACGAAUUCAGAAGCUUUACCUACUCUUACGAUUUUAUCCCGGGCAAAUUAGUUUAAACUCGACGACUAAAAUGUUCGGGGCAAAAUAAUCCGAAUCACGCGUUGUCUGAGAAAAAUCGUGCGCGAGGUUAUAAUUCAAUUUAUUCUUCUGCACGCUGUUUCGAAGACAAAAUCGCGUAUACGUUCGCAGAUAUUGUUUCGGCUAAUUUCGGUCGAAUCACGCUGAACAAAUUAUCAGUACCGAAAUCAGUUUAUUUCGGUCUGUUGUUUCUUGCCCGAUCCAAAACUUUGGAUAUAAAUAACGGCGCAAACUCAUCUGAUUCCAAAGCAUUCGCUAAAUCAAAACCAUGUCAUCCUUACUAUCUAUAUCGUAUACAUUGCUAAGAAAAUUAGUACCGAGCUGAUUAUUCAUAACUAAUCUGUUUUCCUGUUCAGACUGCAGAUAAAAUUAUCUACUCUAAAUUAAAUCAAGCGCGGUCUAAAUUUGUCGAAGCCGAAAUGAAUUUGGUCCGGUCCGUGCGUUUCUUAUUUCGAUCUAAUUUUUGUCAAAUAUAAAUAACGGGUACGAAUUUGUCUGACAUCGAGGUUUUCACUAAAUCAAACAUUGUCUAAAUAUUGUAGCCGAUAAAUUUUAGGUCCAAUCCAUUAUUUGUCGCGCAAACCCUAAGUCUAGAACCUAGGAUUAUAAUUGUAAUUCUGUUUGGUGAAAUGAAAAAAAAAAAUCUGCAACACAUAUCCGUUGCUGUUGCGGUGAAGAUUUUUUUUCUCUCCACCGUUCUCUCUCCCUCCUCUUGAUAUUUCUUGCCGCCGCUCAGGUAAUGGAAAAUAUCUUGCUGCCUCAUCCAAGCACCGCUCAAACCAUUGGUUUUAUCUCCUGCUGCCCUCUGCUCAUUUGCCACACCGAGCAGCCCCUGGAGGCUUCCUCCCAAUGCCAUACAUCUUCACGCACUCAACCUCGCUCGCCUCUCCCCUCAUCUCUACUAUUUCUGGCCGGCAACAGAAGUCCUUCUCCUCGAUUUGUGCUUAUGUGCCCACCAGCCGUUCAUCGCUGCCGCAAGCUCGCAUCUGCUCUCCACCACGGCGAGCUCCCCAUCGCCGUCCAGCUCGCCGGCUUUAGCUACAGGGCGCCAUCAACCACAAGCUCCGACCUGGAACGCUCGUGCUCAGCCUCCGGUGGACCUUCCUCGUCGACUCCUGCUGCGCUCACCUGCGUUUCCUCCUGCGCCGGCCAUCCAGCAGCUUGCCCCACCCCACUCGCGAGUUUUCUGCAUCGCGCUGUCCUAGCCAUGGACGCUGUCCUGCACGCGCCGGCAUCGCGCUCGGACCUCUCCCAACAUCCUCUCGGCAACUAGGCAUCUCGCCUCGUUUUCCAGCAUCGCCAGACCCCGCUGCUCCUGUGUCAACCUGGCUGACGCUGCUCCCUGCUCGGCCUCUGCUUGUGUGUCUCCUCUGCUACCUCACUGGCGAGCUUGGCUUCAGCUCCGUCGUUCGGCCAUGGACACCUGAACAUACACCUCCAUCUUCCUGUGUCACGUUCGGCUCGCCUGAACCUGAGUUCGCCAGUCGUCCCUGCUCGUCGCGCCAAGCACCAGAGCAUCGGAUGUCUGGAUCCCACCGAACAUGGUCGCGUCUCCCCUCACCUUGCCGCGGUCGGGCUGGCCGUCGUCGUCAGCUCGCCUCCAGGCCAACGAAUUUGUCGAACUGCUCACUGCCAGGACGUCGUGCCACGACGCGAGCUCGAUCCCCGCUGUCGUCGCUUCACCGUGCUCGCUAGCCGUGCGCCCCUCAGCUCCCUGUUCGGCAAAAUGAGUGGUCCGGUGCUCGUCGCGUGUUGAGAAGAUCGACACCGAUGUUCUUGCCAAGGUGUUGAUCGUUUGAUUUUGAGGAAAACGACGCACACAUGGUGUUCAGUGAAUGGUUCAAAUCGGAUAGCCUCGUCGAAAUCACGGCUCCGAAUCGAUUUGGAUCUGGUAAGCUGAUUCUCUACUUCUAUUAUUUGAUUUUAAUAAAUGGAUUGGUGGCUAUGUACGUUGCGAUGAUUAUCUCAUUGUAAGAUUACGUGUCGUAGUUAUAUUGUUGUACAACGAAAUGUCUUAUUGUGCGCAGUGGUAUGGUUAGUGUUUGUGGCCACGGUUUGAUUGUUCGUUGGCGUAGGCUCCUCGUAGAGAUUUGCGGGUUUAGUUAGGGUAAGCUAGCGCAGAACCAAAAAUUAGUGUGAUAUUUAACGUAAGCCCGAAUUAGUAUUUGUUAAUCAAUAUAAUGGAUUCGAGCUGAACUUAAAAUUGGCGCACAUUUUUAUUAUUCCUAUUAGCCGAAUUGUUAGAUAGAUUGAAUAGAUUGAAUAAAUUUAAAUGAUGUGGAAUAAAAUUAAAAUAAUUUUUGGUGAGCGAUGUGGUAUAAUUAAUAAUGUAAAGUAUAAGUUUAGCAUUUAUUUAAUUAGUAUGUAAUUCAAAUUAAUUUAGAAACAAGAUUUAAAAGAUUAGUUAAAUUGUUCUUGCACAUAUUAUAACUCUGGGUGUCCAAUAAUAAGAGUCUGAAUAUUGUUAGACCCUCUAUGUUAUGCUUUAGCUAAGGAUAACAUAGCGUGUAUUCAUAUUCAUUGCUGCUUGAUGUUUGAAUUAGAUUUGGUUAAGCUAGAAAGGCACGGCUAUUGCGCUUAGUCAUACGUCGAUAACUAGUGUUUUCGUAUGAAACGGUUUAACGCCUCGUCACUAGGUGUUUAAUUCGCUAUCGUGUAGCACUAUUUAGAUUUGUGCUAUUCCUGUUUUUAUGCACUCAUGUGCAUUAUGCAAAUCAUUUAGGUACGAUAAUUAAUCACGUGAUGCGGAGGAUCAGAACUGAGUCGACCACAAGAUGAUGGAAAGCGUGAGCUUCUCCGCAAGAUGAUGGAUGGACUAAGCGAAUGUCGGAACAAAAGAUGGUCGUCAAGUGGACGUCGUCUAACAACACUAACCUAGUGUUACCCAGGCAAGCCCCGGUGCAUUUGCCACCUCCUUGUGUUUUAAAAAUCUUUUUCACUUGCUUGAUGCAUUAGGUGAUAGGAGUUGAUUGCUAAAACAAUUCCUGCACUACCUUCCUUGAAUUUGAUCACCUUCCUUGAUCAUCGUUUUACAAAAGAUUUUUUUGAUGCUUAGCCUUGCUUUAGAAAAACAAAAUGUUUUGUUUUAAAACAAAAGUGAUGCUACAGAUUGGAUGGGAAGUUUUGAAAAAUAAAACUUGAUGGUGAAUCCAUCAGGGCCUUGAUGGAUUCAACAUCGGAAAAGAUGUACCUCUGCCAGGUACCAAACUUUGGGUUUAAAUUAUAAAGCUGAGACCGGGCGGGUGACUUGCACGAGAAAGGAGUCUCGAUGUAGUGUCUCCGUCUGAGUCGUUUAAGGACCGUACCGAUUGUUGGCCUGCUGAUCUAGGACCCUUUAUCUGGCCACAUACCUCGUCAUGGGUAAGCUUGAACCCGGCUAUUCCAAACAUGAAAAGACAAUCGCGCACUGGGAGUGGAGAGAUGGCGAGAGUGGCAUGUACCCUCCUGGCAAAGGACCGCCUAAAAGGGGUGGUGUGCUCUCGGGUGGCGCGGACCUGUUCAUGUGGUGGAGGAUCCGUGGGAAUGGUAGACAUGUGCAAAAGAGUUAAGAGAAGCAUAUGUCGUGUGGUUGGAGAUCCCCAGCUGGGUAUUAAUCGAUUUGGAUCGCCGAACUUCUCGGAUAUGAAGACUGGAUCUUCGACCCUCAUCGUAGAUAACAAGCGAAACAAAGAUUGGAUUUUAAAAGAAAGCUAGUGUAGGACAAGUGAAUGCUCUAGAUUAGGCAAAUCUAGAUUAAGGAAAAGUAAUUAACUUGUGAUGUAAAAUUUUGGCUUAAGGACCCACUUCUAGUAAGCUUUUCUGCAAAACAGAGUCUUUGAUUCUUGAUAAGCCAUACCUUGAAUCCCUCUAGCCAGCAUAUCUUUGAGAGUCUUUUCUUUAGUCGGGUAAGUCUUGCUGAGUAAUUCCAUACUCAGGGUUUUAUUCCCUGUUGUUUUUCAGGUUUUAACUUUGUGCUGCUGUUGAUGGUGUUAAGUGCCGGUGGGCUCGGCCUUCUUAUAAGUCUAAGUAACUCUUCUAUACUUCUUAUUGAGGAUGUUCACUUGAGCUAGCAUAUAAUUUAAAACUAUAAAUAAUUUAUAAUAGUUUAAAGUUAUUUAUUUGAACCACUUCUGUAACCACUCCGAUAAAUAUAAUGUAAAACUUGAUGUAACUUGUAAAAUUUGGUAAAAAGAUUUCCGCUGCAAAAUGUUGGUGUGUGAUUUGUGUUUACUUAAUCUUGUGAUCCUGGUUGUUCGUGGUUUAUCCGGGGUCCCUGGGACACUCGGACAGAUCCUGUUAAGUUAUCUGGUGCACAUGCAUAGCCGUCUGAGGUCUUUGAGACAAGGGCAGGUGCAUGUGGGCCCAAUAACUUGGGAGGUUCUGCCACAGCUGGUAUCGGAGCGAGAUUAAGUAUAAUACGGUCACAUACGUAUUUUAAAAACAAAGUUUUGGUUUUAGAAAACCUAUUUUCAACUAAACACAUUGUUUGGUUUUGAAAAACAGCUUUGAAAAACUAUAAUGCUAGCGACAUCCUCUGUUAAGCCCUAAACUAAGGACUAUCAGGUGGCUUAGUUGAAAACCAUAACCCACAACCGGGGGUAUUGCAUACAUGUGUACUGUUAUUUUGAAAGCCAUUCAGUCUUGAGUGGAUCGACGCUUAAGGUAAGGUGAGAUGUGAGAGCAUGACCGAACAAACGUCGGUCUAGGGAAGUGCUUAACUGUGGCGCUUGAUUAUAUACAUGUUUUACAUAUGUAUAUAUGAAGGCUGCGAUGUGGAGUAAUUACUUUUCUGGGAAUUCAGUACCCCAUGGAUGUGUAUGGGUAUACAGACAUGGGAAUACUGAGAAGUGUAAUGUACUUGUAACGAUGCACCUAUGCUCAGGUAAGAAGGUGAGUUACCAUAAUGAGUUGCCCUAUGGUUAAAGUGUGGCAACGGCGCCUAUGCGUGGCUCGGCGCUUAAUGAUGAGCUGGCCUCCAUAUAGCAAUAUGUGGAGUAUAAACUGUGAUAAACUGUCAUGUGUGAAUUGCAUCAUGGGAAAAUUGGGCUGUGAUGGAUUUUUCUGCAGGUACACUAACCUCGAAAACGUAUGUGUAGUUGACGACUAGCAAAAUAUCGUGAGAAUCGUAAGUAUGCCACCGAUAUAGAACGUUAUUGCCACAUUGUGUUGGCAAAAUCAGUGAGGACGAAUAGGACGAGCAUGCAUCCUGAUUGUUGCAUCAUGUUUGUCACCUAUACACCCAAGAUGCUUCUCUCAUCUUUAUUCCAGUAACCAUUGAUUGUAGAUAAUAUGUUGUAAUACUGAAUUAUGAACUUCGAUGAAAAAGGUGUCCUCCAUUCUUUAGGUGACCUCUUAGAGUGCUCUAUGUGUGCUCUUUUGUUGAUGUGCCGAUAGAGGGUUAGUAGUUUGGUUGCUUAAACCCAAAAUUAGGCCAUGUUCUUAGUUGGUGAACCGAGACCCAAAUUUGAAUUUACCAUUAUCACUCUGUGACCAAGCCCAUACAAAUAAAUGCUUGAUAAUUUCUUUGUUGGACAUAAGUUGCAUUCGGACUCCAAAUAAGGAUCUUGGCAAUUAACUUGUCACUCCCUUAGUGGUCGUGUUUCCAUCCUAGAUCCUGCCCUUGCUUAGUUGAUACAGGUUGAGGUCUCUAUUGUGUUUGGCCUCUCCUUGCGGAUUAUCUUGUCGCUUUAUCAACCCAACCUAGGAAAGACAUGUCCAACCAUUUUUCUGGAAUUUGAUGCCUUUGGUUUCCCCAUAUCUAUCGAAGGCAUACCAACUUAAUCUUAUGAUUGUUUUCCCCUGUAUCUAGUCAGAUACUGAUCCUUGACCUUGUGAUCUCUACGAUUGGCAAGGAAAUAUGCUUGUGGCUGAACUAACAGUCUCCCAUCGUACUCCUUUCAUCAAGUUUAGGUUAUGGCCAUGUCUUGUCCAUUUCAUCGGGCCAUGAUCUAUUUGGCUCUCUGCUGUAACCAUCAUUACAGGGGGAGCAUCUCUUUGUAUAUUGUCACCCUUGCCUAAUUCAUUUGUAUCGCGUGAGAUUUCUUAUUGGUUACGUCUGGUAAUGGUGUUAUGACUAAAACCGAUGGCACGCGUUGGUAUCACAGUUAAUAGUCAUAAUCCAUUAUGAGAUUAUAUCAAUAUGUUAUCUUCCGUAGACUUCUUCCUUGAAACAAUUUCUAUGUUAUUUGUGAAGAGAUCAAGCAACAUCUGUCAUCUCCGUUGGAUCAAAAGGGCAUACCACUUUCAUGUGUGGUCUUAUUUCUUUUGAUCUUGGUAGUGACUACUCAUGCAAGUUCCCUUUACGUCCUUUGUGUAAAGGUGAAGCCUUGGAGCUUUUUAGUGUCGAGAGACAACUGAUUAGCUCUCAAAAUGGAGAUUGGAUUUUCCCUACUGUUGAGAUGCAGGAGUUUGUUCAUUCGCUCUCCUAUUUAAUCCAUGUAUUUCCUAACUAAGUGGGUAAUUCAUCUCGCAUGAAGAAACGGAUGAACAACCUGACCAAAUGGAUUUCUACCCAAAUGCAUGACCUUUUGCUUGCAAAUGUGAGCUCUUGACUGUUGGCUUACCGAUGGUACUGAGAAGACUUGCUCAAUGUCAAAAGUAGUUCAACAAGUUGGUUUUGACUAACUUGUAACUGCUCAAUGAACAAAGAUUGAGUUUAGAGAUCGUUUUAUCGAUUUGCCUGAACUCAUUUUGGUUCAACCCAUACUGAGAAAGUACUUAUAAAAAUCAAGAUUAAGGCGGCCAAUAACCACCUAGCCAUCGCUCUAGUCGUGUCUCGAUCGCCUCACGUGUGCUUUUCUAGCAUGUAUGACCAGGUCGAGUCAUGCCUAGUGCUUGAUAAAAUGGACUAGUUUUAAAGUCCGUAUCUACAGAUCCCUUUGCUGGUGAUGUUCUCGAAUCUAUAUCACCUUUCAGGGACUUGGAUUCUCUGGCUAACACGAGUUAACUGUGAUGUUAUUCGACAUUCACACCCGUCACGUGUGCUAUGAGCUUACCGUAACCACUUGUUGGUAAACCGCUUUCUGUGUGUUUUACCCAAGAUGGUUGCAUCUGGUUCUGUUUGGGUGAAAUCGCGUAUUAGUCGCUCGCUCAACAGACUUAGAUAGUACCGUGUCAUCAGAAAAAGCAAACUGCACGCAUGGAACCUUAUGUGUUCUUCUGGCAGACAUCAUCUCUAUUGGUGGACAUUUCUAAAUUGGCUUAAGGCGAUACAUGAUAUGUCCACUAGAGAAACAACAUUCUGAGACACUCGUCCUUGCUUGGAACUGCCUUAUAAUUAUCGCUGAUAUGAACACGGGUUACGUACUUCUCUACCCUUAGAAGUCUUUCGCCCGAAUCUCGGGACGAGAUUCUUUUAAGGGGGGAGGGCUGUAACACCCCAGGUGUUUAUAUUCCGCUCGACAACGAGUAUAAAUUUAAGCACGUAAUAUCAGUGAAUAAAACAGAUGCUAAAAUUUAAUCAUCUUUGUCUAUCGCGAUUUUAAUAUCGCAUUUGUUUCGUCUGUCGCGAGUUCGACAUCGUUUUUAUCUAUCCGGGCUCUUCUAAAUUUUUCGUGUUGUUCGGAACAUAAUCGUUCCAAAAAUCGGUGCGUCCGGUGAUUAUUUAAAAUACAUCGCUCGCGCGAAUACGAAUUCAGAAGCUUUACCUACUCUUACGAUUUUAUCCCGGGCAAAUUAGUUUAAACUCGACGACUAAAAUGUUCGGGGCAAAAUAAUCCGAAUCACGCGUUGUCUGAGAAAAAUCGUGCGCGAGGUUAUAAUUCAAUUUAUUCUUCUGCAUGCUGUUUCGAAGACAAAAUCGCGUAUACGUUCGCAGAUAUUGUUUCAGCUAAUUUCGGUCGAAUCACGCUGAACAAAUUAUCAGUACCGAAAUCAGUUUAUUUCGGUCUGUUGUUUCUUGCCCGAUCCAAAACUUUGGAUAUAAAUAACGGCGCAAACUCAUCUGAUUCCAAAGCAUUCGCUAAAUCAAAACCAUGUCAUCCUUACUAUCUAUAUCGUAUACAUUGCUAAGAAAAUUAGUACCGAGCUGAUUAUUCAUAACUAAUCUGUUUUCCUGUUCAGACUGCAGAUAAAAUUAUCUACUCUAAAUUAAAUCAAGCGCGGUCUAAAUUUGUCGAAGCCGAAAUGAAUUUGGUCCGGUCCGUGCGUUUCUUAUUUCGAUCUAAUUUUUGUCAAAUAUAAAUAACGGGUACGAAUUUGUCUGACAUCGAGGUUUUCACUAAAUCAAACAUUGUCUAAAUAUUGUAGCCGAUAAAUUUUAGGUCCAAUCCAUUAUUUGUCGCGCAAACCCUAAGUCUAGAACCUAGGAUUAUAAUUGUAAUUCUGUUUGGUGAAAUGAAAAAAAAAAUCUGCAACACAUAUCCGUUGCUGUUGCGGUGAAGAUUUUUUUUCUCUCCACCGUUCUCUCUCCCUCCUCUUGAUAUUUCUUGCCGCCGCUCAGGUAAUGGAAAAUAUCUUGCUGCCUCAUCCAAGCACCGCUCAAACCAUUGGUUUUAUCUCCUGCUGCCCUCUGCUCAUUUGCCACACCGAGCAGCCCCUGGAGGCUUCCUCCCAAUGCCAUACAUCUUCACGCACUCAACCUCGCUCGCCUCUCCCCUCAUCUCUACUAUUUCUGGCCGGCAACAGAAGUCCUUCUCCUCGAUUUGUGCUUAUGUGCCCACCAGCCGUUCAUCGCUGCCGCAAGCUCGCAUCUGCUCUCCACCACGGCGAGCUCCCCAUCGCCGUCCAGCUCGCCGGCUUUAGCUACAGGGCGCCAUCAACCACAAGCUCCGACCUGGAACGCUCGUGCUCAGCCUCCGGUGGACCUUCCUCGUCGACUCCUGCUGCGCUCACCUGCGUUUCCUCCUGCGCCGGCCAUCCAGCAGCUUGCCCCACCCCACUCGCGAGUUUUCUGCAUCGCGCUGUCCUAGCCAUGGACGCUGUCCUGCACGCGCCGGCAUCGCGCUCGGACCUCUCCCAACAUCCUCUCGGCAACUAGGCAUCUCGCCUCGUUUUCCAGCAUCGCCAGACCCCGCUGCUCCUGUGUCAACCUGGCUGACGCUGCUCCCUGCUCGGCCUCUGCUUGUGUGUCUCCUCUGCUACCUCACUGGCGAGCUUGGCUUCAGCUCCGUCGUUCGGCCAUGGACACCUGAACAUACACCUCCAUCUUCCUGUGUCACGUUCGGCUCGCCUGAACCUGAGUUCGCCAGUCGUCCCUGCUCGUCGCGCCAAGCACCAGAGCAUCGGAUGUCUGGAUCCCACCGAACAUGGUCGCGUCUCCCCUCACCUUGCCGCGGUCGGGCUGGCCGUCGUCGUCAGCUCGCCUCCAGGCCAACGAAUUUGUCGAACUGCUCACUGCCAGGACGUCGUGCCACGACGCGAGCUCGAUCCCCGCUGUCGUCGCUUCACCGUGCUCGCUAGCCGUGCGCCCCUCAGCUCCCUGUUCGGCAAAAUGAGUGGUCCGGUGCUCGUCGCGUGUUGAGAAGAUCGACACCGAUGUUCUUGCCAAGGUGUUGAUCGUUUGAUUUUGAGGAAAACGACGCACACAUGGUGUUCAGUGAAUGGUUCAAAUCGGAUAGCCUCGUCGAAAUCACGGCUCCGAAUCGAUUUGGAUCUGGUACGAUAAUUAAUCACGUGAUGCGGAGGAUCAGAACUGAGUCGACCACAAGAUGAUGGAAAGCGUGAGCUUCUCCGCAAGAUGAUGGAUGGACUAAGCGAAUGUCGGAACAAAAGAUGGUCGUCAAGUGGACGUCGUCUAACAACACUAACCUAGUGUUACCCAGGCAAGCCCCGGUGCAUUUGCCACCUCCUUGUGUUUUAAAAAUCUUUUUCACUUGCUUGAUGCAUUAGGUGAUAGGAGUUGAUUGCUAAAACAAUUCCUGCACUACCUUCCUUGAAUUUGAUCACCUUCCUUGAUCACCGUUUUACAAAAGAUUUUUUUGAUGCUUAGCCUUGCUUUAGAAAAACAAAAUGUUUUGUUUUAAAACAAAAGUGAUGCUACAGAUUGGAUGGGAAGUUUUGAAAAAUAAAACUUGAUGGUGAAUCCAUCAGGGCCUUGAUGGAUUCAACAUCGGAAAAGAUGUACCUCUGCCAGGUACCAAACUUUGGGUUUAAAUUAUAAAGCUAAGACCGGGCGGGUGACUUGCACGAGAAAGGAGUCUCGAUGUAGUGUCUCCGUCUGAGUCGUUUAAGGACCGUACCGAUUGUUGGCCUGCUGAUCUAGGACCCUUUAUCUGGCCACAUACCUCGUCAUGGGUAAGCUUGAACCCGGCUAUUCCAAACAUGAAAAGACAAUCGCGCACUGGGAGUGGAGAGAUGGCGAGAGUGGCACGUACCCUCCUGGCAAAGGACCGCCUAAAAGGGGUGGUGUGCUCUCGGGUGGCGCGGACCUGUUCAUGUGGUGGAGGAUCCGUGGGAAUGGUAGACAUGUGCAAAAGAGUUAAGAGAAGCAUAUGUCGUGUGGUUGGAGAUCCCCAGCUGGGUAUUAAUCGAUUUGGAUCGCCGAACUUCUCGGAUAUGAAGACUGGAUCUUCGACCCUCAUCGUAGAUAACAAGCGAAACAAAGAUUGGAUUUUAAAAGAAAGCUAGUGUAGGACAAGUGAAUGCUCUAGAUUAGGCAAAUCUAGAUUAAGGAAAAGUAAUUAACUUGUGAUGUAAAAUUUUGGCUUAAGGACCCACUUCUAGUAAGCUUUUCUGCAAAAUAGAGUCUUUGAUUCUUGAUAAGCCAUACCUUGAAUCCCUCUAGCCAGCAUAUCCUUGAGAGUCUUUUCUUUAGUCGGGUAAGUCUUGCUGAGUAAUUCCAUACUCAGGGUUUUAUUCCCUGUUGUUUUUCAGGUUUUAACUUUGUGCUGCUGUUGAUGGUGUUAAGUGCCGGUGGGCUCGGCCUUCUUAUAAGUCUAAGUAACUCUUCUAUACUUCUUAUUGAGGAUGUUCACUUGAGCUAGCAUAUAAUUUAAAACUAUAAAUAAUUUAUAAUAGUUUAAAGUUAUUUAUUUGAACCACUUCUGUAACCACUCCGAUAAAUAUAAUGUAAAACUUGAUGUAACUUGUAAAAUUUGGUAAAAAGAUUUUCGCUGCAAAAUGUUGGUGUGUGAUUUGUGUUUACUUAAUCUUGUGAUCCUGGUUGUUCGUGGUUUAUCCGGGGUCCCUGGGACACUCGGACAGAUCCUGUUAAGUUAUCUGGUGCACAUGCAUAGCCGUCUGAGGUCUUUGAGACAAGGGCAGGUGCAUGUGGGCCCAAUAACUUGGGAGGUUCUGCCACAGCAAGACUAGGAGACGUUGAAUUGGUUUGGACUCUAUGGACUUGUUAUGUAACGUAUGAAUUAUAUAGACUUGUAAUGGACUCAUUUGGCCUCUACGGGCUUGUAUGACAUUUUAAUGGACUUGUAUGAAUUCUAUGGACUUGUAAUGCACUUGUUUAGACUUUUAUGAGCUUGCUUGGAAUUGUUUACAAUUGUAUGCACUUGUAUGUUAUGCUUAUCUAUGUGUAUAUGUUGGAUUGACAAAAAACAGAGAAAACUCUGCCGAAAUUUUGUGAAAUUGUUGGUUAUGUCAUGUAGCCUUUACAGAACUAUUACAUAGCCUUUUCAGAAGCAUUAAUUUUUGGACUAGCAUCUAGUCUUUUCAGAUCCAUUUCGUAGCCUUUUCAGGAGUGUUUAUAUAGCCUUUUCAGAGUGUAAAAAUAGCCUUUUCAGGAUUGUAUAUAUAGCCUUUUCAGGAUUGUAUAUAUAGCCUUUUCAGAAUCAACUAUAUCCUACAUUAGCGUAGGACAUGUAGCCUUUUCAGAACAAGAACAUAGCCUUUUUAGAGUUUUUGUACAUACCUGAUGUUUAUAAUCUAUUACACUAUUUAUCCUUUAGCCUAUAUAUACACGAUCCUUUGUACAUUUGCUUCAUUGUGCAAUACAAUGACUUCAGGGUCUUCUAGGGGCAAGGGUGCGGUAAAUGAGAGACGAAAGGAUGGAGGGAAGUUAACUCCAAUGUGUUUCGAUGGCCCUCUUGGUCCAGAUUUUUUUGAAGAGGCGGUUUUUAACUUUCCAGUUCAAAGUAAAAAAGAUUUCAACAAAGAGGUUAGACUUAGGUCCUACGAUAAUAGGAGAGAAGAUUGGCCGAAGUGCAUGCAUGGUGAGGAUUGCUUGGUGCAGAUGUUCGUUGAGGGUGGAAUUGAUGGAGGCCGGCGUUUCUUCAGAUGUCCUUAUGCAUAUGUACAAAUUAAUUUCUAGUCCUUUGUUCUAAAUACUUUUGUUGUUCAGUGAAACUAACUAUAAACAUUUAUGCAGCAUUCAUUGGUCAAGGAGAAUUGUGGGUUCACUCGUUGGGUAGAUCCUCGUCCGAUUUUUCCUCAUGUGGAAUACAUAUCCUACCUACAGAAAAGGAUAUUUGAUCUAGAGAGAGAAGUAAGCAACAGAAAUGCUGAGGAAGAAAGAGACAACAACAAUGGUGGUGCUUCACAGGUGCAAGUAUGCACAGAUCCAUAUUGUUGCUGCCCUUGUCACAACAAGAAUGUUGGUCCUCCGUCGUCUCCACCGCACCCACAGCAGACACCAACAAUGGGAGGAUACUAUGGGGAAGGGUCAACUCAAUUUGGAAUGUGGGAGCACUACUAGAAAACUCUUCUGUAUCAAUUGCUUUCAGCGUGUUGAUUAUCUAUUUCAAUUGCUUCAAGUCGCCUUCAAGAAUUGCUUUAAAUCUAGUUUUCAUCAAUUAUGUAUUUAUGUAAUUUUUCAUCAAUUUGAAGGUAAUUCAUUACGAAAUA
Long non-coding RNA from Zea mays, 12977 nucleotides. RefSeq lists it as uncharacterized. The transcript is spliced from 2 exons. The record is from RefSeq and is a predicted model, not a curated record. NCBI's taxonomy places the organism in Eukaryota, Viridiplantae, Streptophyta, Magnoliopsida, Poales, Poaceae.